This 378-nucleotide ribosomal RNA is filed under the name uncultured bacterium. RNAcentral describes it as "bacterial SSU rRNA". It matches the Rfam family "Bacterial small subunit ribosomal RNA", at positions 28 to 407 of the family's 1533-position model. The record is from RNAcentral.
GACGAACGCUGGCAGCGUGCUUAACACAUGCAAGUCGAGCGGUAAGGCCCUUUCGGGGGUACACGAGCGGCGAACGGGUGAGUAACACGUGGGUGACCUGCCCUUAGCUCUGGGAUAAGCCUGGGAAACUGGGUCUAAUACCGGAUAUGACUCCAUAACGCAUGUUGUGGGGUGGAAAGCCUUGUGCGGCUAGGGAUGGGCCCGCGGCCUAUCAGCUUGUUGGUGGGGUGAUGGCCUACCAAGGCGACGACGGGUAGCCGGCCUGAGAGGGCGACCGGCCACACUGGGACUGAGACACGGCCCAGACUCCUACGGGAGGCAGCAGUGGGGAAUCUUGCGCAAUGGGCGAAAGCCUGACGCAGCGACGCCGCGUGGGGA